This 253-nucleotide ribosomal RNA is filed under the name uncultured bacterium. Its description in RNAcentral is "partial 16S ribosomal RNA". It matches the Rfam family "Bacterial small subunit ribosomal RNA", at positions 524 to 776 of the family's 1533-position model. The record is from RNAcentral.
UACGGAGGGGGCGAGCGUUAUUCGGAAUUAUUGGGCGUAAAGGGCGCGUAGGCGGCCCGGUAAGUCAAAGGUGAAAUCCCUCGGCUCAACUGAGGAACUGCCUUUGAAACUGUCGGGCUUGAGGCCGGGAGGGGGUAGCGGAAUUCCCAGUGUAGCGGUGAAAUGCGUAGAUAUUGGGAGGAACACCAGUGGCGAAGGCGGCUACCUGGACCGGUUCUGACGCUGAUGCGCGAAAGCCAGGGGAGCAAACGGG